Vigna radiata var. radiata (mung bean) is the source of this 791-nucleotide long non-coding RNA. RefSeq lists it as uncharacterized. The transcript has 5 exons. NCBI's taxonomy places the organism in Eukaryota, Viridiplantae, Streptophyta, Magnoliopsida, Fabales, Fabaceae. The record is from RefSeq and is a predicted model, not a curated record.
AACAGAAUUAAUUAUAUUUUCUGUCCUUAUUUCUUUUCUCUUUGUUUUUUUACUUCUUGGAGCUAGGUCGAGAAAUCCAAAGAAAUUGGCGAGAGAGAAUUCGAGGGCCAUAGGGGAAAUUGCGGCAGACAUUAAACGCUGGGAGAGAGAUGAAGGCUUGAUUUUAAGGUGGGUAAAGGGAAGAUGGAAUCAGACGAUGGUGAGAAUGAUUUUAGGGUUUCAGGGAUGCGAAUUGGGGAUUUAGAUGAAACCUGAAAAAGGGGCUAGAGAAGGAAGGAUAUAGACACUUAAUCAAGCAUUUUGAGAAACCUAAGGGUGAAACAGAGGACUGAGAAAGUCACAGUGUUCGGUAGGAGUGCGCAGGAAUCAAAAUCCAGGAAAACCUCAAAAAACUUUCUAUUCCUCAAUUGGGUAGGGAUCUUAGCACCAACCACAUUGGAGGGGCCAUUCAUCUAGUUAGUGUUCAAGACAACCCAAUGACAAUGAUUGUGGGUAUUACGUGUAUCAAUAUAUGAAGGAAAUUAUCACAUAUUGUGAAAGAGGAACAAUUCCAACUUAUAAUUUGUCUAGUUACAGAUGUCGACAAUAUCGUGACAGCCAGAUAAUUGAAGUUAGGAAAAAUUAGUGUUUACAUUUAAUCAGUACAUACUUAUAGGUUAUGUUAUGGUGAUGUAUAUGCUUAUAAGUAUUGAUAUGAUAUAUAUAUCUUAUGAUUGUAUAUAUUAUCUUAUAAAGCAAUGUCAUGUCAUGACACAUAUUAGACAACUUAACUAUUAUAUUUUGAAAUAUUA